Molecule: long non-coding RNA, 639 nt
Organism: Mytilus californianus (California mussel)
Lineage: Eukaryota; Metazoa; Mollusca; Bivalvia; Mytilida; Mytilidae
Exons: 5
Source: RefSeq, a predicted model, not a curated record
AAAAGGAAAAGAAACGAUCAUAUAAACCUGUGUUGUAUCUUAUUUUCGCAAAUAAACAAGACACAGAUAACAAAAAAGACAGAUGUACACUAAUGGAUGAAAUCUUUGAAUAUUCAAAAAGGACAAAAUUACCAUGCCAUGUCAUUGGAAAGAAGGUACUGUUUCUGCAUGGUUCUUCACGUGUUGUAUGCAUUCACCAUACCACAAGUGAUCAUACAAUCAAGGAAUUAGUGAAGAAAGGAUUUCGAAUUUUUGAAAGAGGGGAUACAAACACCGAAGAAAGUGAAAUCAAAUACUUCAUAAGAAUGGCAGAAUAUGUGUUAGAUGAGAAAGUUUUACCAGUGAUUAUUUCCAUGCGUAAUGGAGGAUUGAACGAAGACGUAUUAGUUAGUGCUAGCAGUUUAUUUCUCCCAAUUAUUCGAUUGAAGAAAAGCAGUCCAGACGUUACUGUUUUGACCCUUGAAAAUGGUUCCAUUGAAAAAGCAACUGAACAUAUGACAAAUUUAAAGACCCCUUGGACUGUCAGAAAAUCAGAAACUCUUAUUGUAAUUAAGAAUGCGGAAACAACAGAUGAAAUUUCAGCUAUCAAUGAGGUGCAAAGCAAUUUGGAUUUCGAGGCUCUUAUAUGUCAUGUGGUUA